Molecule: ribosomal RNA, 631 nt
Filed under: uncultured bacterium
Lineage: Bacteria
Description: bacterial SSU rRNA
Rfam family: Bacterial small subunit ribosomal RNA
Source: RNAcentral
UUUACCUUUGAAUCCGGGAUAACUGUUCGAAAGAAUCGCUAAUACCGAAUGAAGUCAAUGUUUCCUAGGAGAUAUUGAUGAAAGACAGCCUCUUCUUGAAAAGCUGUUGUUUGAAGAUGAGUCCGCGCACCAUUAGCUUGUUGGUGGGGUAAAGGCCUACCAAGGCUCUGAUGGUUAGCUGGUCUGAGAGGAUGAUCAGCCACACUGGAACUGACACACGGUCCAGACUCCUACGGGAGGCAGCAGUGAGGAAUUUUGCGCAAUGGGGGCAACCCUGACGCAGCAACGCCGCGUGAGUGAAGAAGGCCCUUGGGUCGUAAAACUCUGUCAAUGGGGAAGAAGUUAUUGCAUAUUAAUAGUAUGUAGUAUUGACGGUACCCAUGAAGGAAGCACCGGCUAACUCCGUGCCAGCAGCCGCGGUAAUACGGGGGGUGCAAGCGUUAUUCGGAAUUAUUGGGCGUAAAGGGCACGCAGGCGGUCCAACAGGUCAGAUGUGAAAGCCCGGGGCUCAACCCUGGAAGUGCAUUUGAAACCGUAGGACUUGAGUACGGUAGAGGAGAGGGGAAUUCCUGGUGUAGAGGUGAAAUUCGUAGAUAUCAGGAGGAACACCGGUGGCGAAGGCGCCUCUCUG